AGUGAACGCUGGCGGUAGGCCUAACACAUGCAAGUCGAACGGCAGCACAGUAAGAGCUUGCUCUUACGGGUGGCGAGUGGCGGACGGGCGAGGAAUACAUCGGAAUCUACUUUUUCGUGGGGGAUAACGUAGGGAAACUUACGCUAAUACCGCAUACGACCUACGGGUGAAAGCAGGGGAUCUUCGGACCUUGCGCGAUUGAAUGAGCCGAUGUCGGAUUAGCUAGUUGGCGGGGUAAAGGCCCACCAAGGCGACGAUCCGUAGCUGGUCUGAGAGGAUGAUCAGCCACACUGGAACUGAGACACGGUCCAGACUCCUACGGGAGGCAGCAGUGGGGAAUAUUGGACAAUGGGCGCAAGCCUGAUCCAGCCAUACCGCGUGGGCGAAGAAGGCCUUCGGGUUGUAAAGCCCUUUUGUUGGGAAAGAAAAGCAGCAGGUUAAUACCCCGCUGUUCUGACGGUACCCAAAGAAUAAGCACCGGCUAACUUCGUG
This 492-nucleotide ribosomal RNA is filed under the name uncultured bacterium. RNAcentral describes it as "partial 16S ribosomal RNA". It matches the Rfam family "Bacterial small subunit ribosomal RNA", at positions 29 to 507 of the family's 1533-position model. The record is from RNAcentral.